RNAcentral lists this ribosomal RNA (213 nucleotides) under Taenia hydatigena. Its description in RNAcentral is "partial small subunit ribosomal RNA". Lineage: Eukaryota; Metazoa; Platyhelminthes; Cestoda; Cyclophyllidea; Taeniidae. The record is from RNAcentral.
UAAUUUACUUUCGUUAUGUUGGUGUAUAUCUGGUUUAAUAUUAUCGUUGAGUAAGUGAGUUUGUGUAGUUUUAUUUAAGCCAAGUCUAUGUGCUGCUUAUGAAAGUAUUCAUGCGUUACAUUUAUAAGGUUUUGGUUGUAAUACUAAAAUAUUUAGGACUUAAAAGUAAUGUUCAAUAAGUUUGUGAGUGUGAAGUAAGUUUAGCUCAUGUAC